Molecule: ribosomal RNA, 141 nt
Filed under: uncultured bacterium
Lineage: Bacteria
Description: partial 16S rRNA
Rfam family: Bacterial small subunit ribosomal RNA
Source: RNAcentral
UGGGGAAUUUUCCGCAAUGGGCGAAAGCCUGACGGAGCAAUGCCGCGUGGAGGUGGAAGGCCUACGGGUCGUCAACUUCUUUUCUCGGAGAAGAAACAAUGGCGGUAUCUGAGGAAUAAGCAUCGGCUAACUCUGUGCCAG